This 101-nucleotide ribosomal RNA is filed under the name Sinocyclocheilus grahami. The record is from RNAcentral. Lineage: Eukaryota; Metazoa; Chordata; Actinopteri; Cypriniformes; Cyprinidae.
UUGGGGAGUAACAUCGUGGUUGCUCACUGAAGCUAAGCAGGGCUGAGCCUGGUCAGUACCUGGAUGGGAGACCUCCUGGGAAAACUAGGUUGCUGCUGGAA